CAUGGUUUGACGAUGAGAGAGGCUGGACAGAGGGUUCAGCCUAAUCUAAACCAAUUUACUGUCGCCUCUGUAAUCCUGACACUUAGACUUGAAAACAGGACUGAGAAACAAAGAGGUGGAAGGCCAAGGAUUAUCAAUGAGUCACAGGAAGCAGCAGUUACAAACUGGGUUUUGGCAAACAAUGCAUCACAGAGACAUCCGAAGCAUAGUAACUACAGUAUGUGCUGAGAUGCAUGUUGCACAAUGUGAUUUUUGAAUAAAAUGUGAUUUCUUUCAACAA
Molecule: long non-coding RNA, 280 nt
Organism: Gymnodraco acuticeps
Lineage: Eukaryota; Metazoa; Chordata; Actinopteri; Perciformes; Bathydraconidae
Exons: 2
Source: RefSeq, a predicted model, not a curated record